Non-coding RNA from Electrophorus electricus (electric eel), 1321 nucleotides. Lineage: Eukaryota; Metazoa; Chordata; Actinopteri; Gymnotiformes; Gymnotidae. The record is from RefSeq and is a predicted model, not a curated record.
UCAAGGCGGCCCAGAGCUGGAUGAUGAAAGGAGAUAAGGAGGGGCGGUUUCAAGGCCUCCCCUAGGCGAACCUAGUUGGCCCCAAAGCUAAAGGAGAGUCAAGAGUGACUUAAUCAAAGGGAAUACGUUAAAAAGGGGGAAAUUACAUGUUGUAUUAAAUAUAGAGUGUAGAUGCGCGGAUUAAUAUAGUCUAAUACAACACCAACUUAAUAAAGCGAGUAGACUGCAUAGAAAUUAUUGAACUCAAGGAAGUAUAUCGGAGUGCGAGAGAAAAAAACGUUCGCGAGAGCUUGGCUAGAAAUGGAGGCGAAAGAACUGUUCUCAAAGUAAUGAUUACUCAGGUCUGUGAUUUUGAGGGAAUUUUUCGUCGCUAUUUACGUUGCAGCCGGCCUAAUUGUUACGUAUUUUCCUUUUUCAUUAAUGGAUUUUCCACUAUCGCUAUACUGAACGGGACCUUGGAAAGGACUACAGGAAAAGCGACCCCCUUUCCAUCUCUCCGGGGAGAUCUUGGACGCAUUCAAUCAUUUUUGCUCCUCCAUAUUGGACUUUUCAACCCUCCACCCCCAACCCUUUUAAAAAGACCCCACCUUAAUCAAAGUAAUCAUGGUAACCUAAUAUUUUCCCUAAUCACAUGCGGAAAUUCACUCAGAACGCUCUAAAGUGAAUCGUCCAGUAAGAUAUACGACGCGCUUUUUAGGACGUCGACGCGGCGGCAAAAACUUCGAAGUUUUUAGACGAAAAGCUAGCAGGACACAUUCAAAACAUGUCUUCUUGUAAACGUGUUCUGUGAAUUUUUGCCACGUCGUUACCUGUUCUUGUUUGCUUGUUUAAAAUAUCUUCAGAAUCAAACAACAGACAGCAAUGUUAAGGCCAUUUGUAAAAACACCACAAACACAUAUUCGCUUCGAUGUACUGUUUACUCAACGACUUACAGCUUUACCUUGGAGUAAAAAUGUAUCCCUUACAAUAGACAUUGGUUAUCCUUAAAUAAAAGAAAUGCCCGUCCCUAAAAGCAGGUUAGAAAAUAAAUCGUAUAUUUUUACAUCCAAAAUAGGUUAUUUGCCUUGAAAGCGAGGCGUAUUUUCCCACUCAUCCCCGGAGCAAAUUCUGCCUCCACCCCUACCUUUAAGGUCAACGCCCCAGGAGUCGUGACGUCAGAUUAUUAACUCCUUCGUCUCUGCACAUUCAAAGCUCCGUUUCUCAAAAGGCUUCUCUCCUAACAAAAUUCAUUUGGGGUUGUUUACCAUUACAGCUAAAAUACAAUGUCAAGGUUUCUACAGGUGAAAACACAGACAUAAAUGACAAAUAAAACGCAUUUAUA